Molecule: long non-coding RNA, 223 nt
Organism: Acyrthosiphon pisum (pea aphid)
Lineage: Eukaryota; Metazoa; Arthropoda; Insecta; Hemiptera; Aphididae
Exons: 2
Source: RefSeq, a predicted model, not a curated record
CUCUCUGUUGUCUAAAAAUUUAUAGAAAAAUUUGGCUUGGUGAAAUGGCGUCUUCACAUGGAACACAUACGCCCAAAGACACUCAAAUCAUUGUGUCGAUUAUGAAAGAUUUAGGUAUCGUUGAAUACGAAUCGCAAGUUUUAAACCAUCUCUUGUAGUUUAACUACAGGUACACAACGCUACUGUUGGACGACGCUAAGACAUUUUCAAACUUUGCGAAAAA